Molecule: long non-coding RNA, 5237 nt
Filed under: Musa acuminata (dwarf banana)
Lineage: Eukaryota; Viridiplantae; Streptophyta; Magnoliopsida; Zingiberales; Musaceae
Description: long non-coding RNA (MACU_LNC004946)
Source: RNAcentral
AUUAUUCAGGAACAGAUUUGGAUGGCCAUUCCUCUAGAAACCAAUUCGACGAAGACGAUAUUGAGACCAUCAGUUCGUUCUCUGGUCCAAUACCCAUACAUAUCGGUAAUGACUCUGCUGCUAUAGAUAAUGUGCUUGGAGAAUUUGCUUCUACACAAAAACAAAAGCAAGUCGAGAGAUCCGAGCAGGUGGAGAGUUCCAAAGCACGAGAUGAUAAUGAAGAAUCAUCGGGUAUUGUAGAAUUAGAAUGCAACCUCUCCGUGCAAGCAGAAAAGAGCACGACCACUGCUGAAGCAAACAAGAGCAUGGAGAUUGUGUGCAGAGGAUUGGAUCAUGCAGACUCUCUAGGUCUGCUACUCAUCAGCAACAGAUUGAGAUGCAUCACCAACUGGUUAGUCGUUGCUUUGAUUAAGCUGCAGCAUCCUCACUCUGAAAGUGGUCAUUCCCUAGUUAGGAUCUACGGUCCACAAGUAAAAUUUGACAGGGGACCUGCAAUAGCUUUCAACAUCUUCGACUGGAAAGGAGAGAAGAUCGAGCCUGUGCUUGUACAAAAGCUUGCAGAUAGAAGCAACAUUUCUCUUAGUUGUGGGUUCCUAAACAAUAUACGCUUCCCAGACAAAUAUGAAGCUGAGAAACAUAAAGUUUUGGAGAGAAGAGCCUGUGAAAUAACAGUUGCAGGCAACAGAAAGAAACAAAAAACUACUAUGGGAAUAAAUGUCUUAAAUGCUUCCCUUAGCUUCCUCACUAACUUUGAGGAUGCUUACAAACUCUGGACUUUUGUUGCUAAGUUCCUAGAUGCAGAUUUUGUUGAGAAGGAAAGGUGGAGAUAUUUGGCUUUGAAUCAGAAAACAGUUGAGGUUUAAUGUGAAUGAGCUGAAUUUUCUGUAGUUGACUAUGCUUUCUGCUAGAACUGUCAACAUAGAACUGGGGAUACAUUCUUUUACUGUGCUACCAUGUUCAGAUAACGGUAUCUUGAUGAAUAAUGUGAAUCAUCUACUCACUAUUUUUCUCUGGGUCAAAGAAUUGGAUAUGUAAACAAUUGUGCAUGACCAAAUCAAAUAAAUUAUAUGAGGGACCUUAUUUCUCAAUUGAACUUUUUUUAUCAUAAACUAGUCAAGGUAAACUAAAUGCAAGUUAGUUCUUGUAAUUCUUAGUUUGGUGCCCUUGGAUAAAAGAAAUACAUUCGCCAAUUCAAGGACUAUGCUUGUGAAUCCCGAAUAUGUUGAGGCACAACAGUUGCCUGCACAUCCAGGGGUAAAACACUAUUUCGGUGUGGGAUGUGAGAGCGGUACCAAACCAAGGCAGACUCUGAAUACUAGAUAUGAUGCAAAAAUAAGAGGGGUCAAUGUCAACCAGUUAGAUAAUGGGGAGAAGCAUCAUCGGUGAGUGGAAAAUAGUUUAGAUCAUUAGGUAAGGCCCCAAAAUGUCCGUUUAGUGAUAAAGAUAAAGGUAUAUGAUUAUAUAAUUAAAUUUUUAGUCAGAACUAUUUUGGUGUGGGAUGCGAGAGCAGUACCAAAUCAAGGCAAACUCUAAAUACUAGAUAUGACAUAAAAAUAAGAUGGGUCAAUGUUGACCAGUUAGAUAAUGGGGGAUAAGCAUAAUCACUCACAGGAAAAUAGUCAGGAUCAUCGCUAAGGCCCCAAAACAUCCAUUUAAUGAUAAGGUAUAUGAUUAUAUGAUUAAACUUAUAAUCAGCCUCAUCUAGUGAAAACAUCAAACACUUUACUUGAACUAUCCACAGAGCACAUGGAGCAGCAAAUCAGCUAGGCCCUAAAAUUAGACUAUUCUUCUUGUAUUUUCCUCUACAAGAAUAUGGGGAAAUAAACAAAGAUCAGGAACAGAUUUAGGUUUCCCCAGUCUUGCCAAAGCCACUGAAAUUUACAUGAUUUAUCCUCAUUCAAUGGUGUUAUCUUUUUUACACCAGGCCUUGGCCAAAAAGAAUGAAUGAUAUUAAUUCGAACUGUUCGAUCAAAUGUUAACCAUGUCAGCAUCUCAGCAACCUAAAAUCCUACAACUCCAACAGCUAAAAUUAUGAUCUUGAAACCUUAAGAGCUCAGCCAAUUUAUAGCUUGAAUUACUUCUUAAUUGUGGAAUAAAACAUUAGUAGCAGUACUUUUGCUGAAAUCUAAUCAAAUUAUUAUGUACUGAAUUGUCAAUCUAUGGUAUGGUUUACAUUUGUAGACCAUUGACAAAAAUAUCUAAAAAUAUAUAAGAUGUUGAUAUUUUAUCAGUAUGCUUGCGAUUCCAACAUAUCAGUAGCAUUGAAUCAUUAUGGUUGAUAUACGAUGGUGUUUAGCUUCAUGAUUUUCCAAAAAGAAGGUCAACUAGAUGAGAUCAAGCAAGCCAGGCCUAGCUCAAGCUUGGCCAAGUUCAACUCAAGUUAGUGCAUUCAUCUUUGAUCCAUGAACCAGUUGCUAAAUUACAAGUAUUUAGAAAAUUAUUGUCAAUGUGAAAUCAUUUAAGCCUUCCACAAACAUUCAUGUCAUGUUAAUCUCACUAUCAUCCUCAUCAAUUAGUCAAAAAAAUUUUGGGCAUGUUUGAUCAGGGACGAUCUAGUCGAGUUUGAGCCAAACUCCAAUUCAGCCCAACUGGAGUUCUAGUUAGACCCCACUUCGAUCAUGAUCAAGCCAAACCAAGACCAAACCCAAUCUUGAGCUCAGAGACCUGAGUCAAGUCAGCCCAAUCUCAAUCCUAGUAGGAACAAGAUUAGGGCAGCCCCUAGCCAACCAGGGUAAUAUACAAUAAAAGACUUCAACGACUACAAGGAACUAAAGAGAAGUCCUAAUCAAAUUAGGACUUUAUACGCCCUCAAUCCUAUAAAUCUAAAGGGUUGCAACCCUCUUGAAGGCAUCCAAGUCGUGCCUCCUCUUGAGUUCCCAACCGGCCCUAAGCUAAGAAGAGAGGAGAGAAAGAGAGGAAGGAGUUUGAAAAUUCAACAAUCCUUCCUCCUCCCUGUAGCCACCUUGCUACAGAGAUCUUUUUUGAGUUGUUGUCAGCCUUUGUAGCUUGCAAAGAGGCCUUCAAUAGCAGCAAGAAGAAGAAGGGAGAAUGAGAGUUCAAGGAAGAGCAACAGCCUACUUCCUCCAUUGUUGGCAGACCUUCAUCCUUCUUCCUCCCAGCCUACUGCAGCAACGUUGCAGCAGAGAUUCCAUCAAGUUCCAAUAGCCAAAGUCCUUCAUCAAAGCUACGUCUAGCCUCUGUAAGAAGUCCCAAAGCUUGUUAUUCGCUGUCCAAACCUUAGAAGGAAGUUCCAACAACAAGAACGGAGAAGACCAAAACCAACAGCAAUCGUCAACUUGUCGACAGCACCCAAGUGCUAUCCAAAGGCAACCUAUGUUCUUACGCAUUUGUAAGUCUUUUAUCUUGCUUUUAUUCUGUUUCUUAGCCCUUGUAGUAGGCACUUUAAUCUUAUGAGCAAUAGACAUUGUUUUCCUUUCGGUUUUACAUUUGUUUCCAGCAAUAUCUCUCUCUACCAAUAACUUCCAUAUGAGAAGUGGUAUUGGAUUGACGAAUCAUUGAACCCAUGCCCUAUACGGAUCAAUGUUUAUGCAUUCAAACACUAGACAUUUGACUUCUACUUUACUAGAUCAUUUCCUCAAAGAAACAGAUCAAAAGCAAAGCUCAAAUAGUAAACAGUGAUCCAAAUCAGUUUUUUUCUGCAAUUAACUCCUAUAAAGUUUCAUGGGACAGACUAUGUAUACAACCAUGUGAAAGAUCAUAAAGAAGUAGAGGCAUUUAUUCCGAGCAUCAGUUCCUCUUUUAAUUCUACUAACAUCAUGAUCAUGUACUCAAAAAAAUUGUGUAAAUGUUUAUGCACAUAAACACUAGAAAUCUAGGUUCUUCUUUAAAAUAUGAUUUCUUUAUAGAAACUUAAAUGAACAAGAUGAUACAUAUUUUUAUAGAGAAAAAAACAAUAAACUAUCCAUCUUUAUGCAUAGAGACAAAAAAAACAUCGAUGAACAUCUCUUCUACAAUCAACUCCAUGGGAUUCAUCUAGGACAGAUUAUGUGCACAACCAUGUAGAAAAGAAGAAUGAAGUUCACAUCCAUUAGUUGUUAUUAACUAAGAUACAACAUAAACUAAGCAAUAAUAUCCAACUAUUUAGGAUCAGCUAUAUGAAACUUUUUCUUCGAUGAAUACCAGACACGUCUUGUUAAAUCAAAAGCAUUCAUUUUUUUAAAUUAUUAUUAGUACUAUUUAUUAGUUCGGACGCUACCUCUUCUUGUCCCAAUGAUACUAGUUGAUUCAUCUUGACUAACGACAAUAGGUACAGGUUUUCUUUUAACAUGUUCACAGUAUCUUAGAUUGUUCUCUUCUGUAAUCCUCUGUGACCUAAUUAUUUAUAAGUAAACUAUUUUAUUAAUUUUUAUCUUUUUUUAGAUCUUAUGAACAUGGUUCUUAACCAUUAUCAACAAAAAGACGUAGGUAAAUAAAAUCUUGGUUAUUGUUAAAGUCUGAUUGUAAACAUACACAGUUGAUAACACAGAAAAGAAGAUUACGGUUCCAUUUUAAAAAAUUGGAGACAAUUCAAUCAGGACUUUCUUUUGCCAAAACAUGUUAAAUAAUACAAGACGGAAAUAGUAAAUUAGAGAACAUAUCAAGCACCCGCUAGAUACGAAAAUUCAAAAGAAAAUUAUAAUUGCAUUGGUCUUGUUCUUAUUAUUCACCUGAAGAGAAAUCAGUACCGAUAUAUUAAAGACAAACAGUAGCUAGUAUCGUAAUAUUAUUCCGUGACUUGUAUGGUUAGCACGGAGUUCUGUUAAAAAUUUGAAUGCUUAGCUUGCAGAGUUCUAACAUUUGGGACAGCAACAAGAAAAAAAAGCUAAUUUCAAAGACAAUGUGGUUUCUUUUUAAGUUAAAUAGCACACUCAGAACGACUUAUAGAGGCACAAGCUAGAUCUAAUGAGUUGAGUUGCUGCUUGGCAAAGAUUCGGCAGGCGGCAAGACAAUAGAAACCAAAGCAGAAAUAAGUGGGGGAGGAGGAGAGGGAGAGAGGAGGAGAUUAUUCCGACCUUGAAGAGCGAGAUCUCCAGUUGCAGUGCUUUCGGAGCUAAAGCAGAGACGAUUAGUGCACCCAAGGAGCAGCAAAGAGAGGAGACGAGAAUCUGGUGGGCGCACCCACAACCGACUCUUCCCCGACAAAGUAGGUUUUUAUAGUACGGCCUGAAUCCUUUGUGGUCUUAUCGACAACCCUCCGAUCACAACCGUCCAUCCUACCAUAUAUAUAUAUAUAUAUA